Molecule: ribosomal RNA, 254 nt
Filed under: uncultured bacterium
Lineage: Bacteria
Description: partial 16S ribosomal RNA
Rfam family: Bacterial small subunit ribosomal RNA
Source: RNAcentral
UACGUAGGGAGCGAGCGUUGUCCGAAGUUACUGGGCGUAAAGCGCGCGUAGGCGGGCUGUUAAGUGAGAGGUGAAAGGCUGGGGCUUAACCCCAUGCAGUGCCUCUCAUACUGGCGGUCUUGAGUGCGGCAGGGAGAAGUGGAAUGGCUGGUGUAGCGGUGAAAUGCGUAGAUAUCUGGAGGAACACCGGUGGCGAAGGCGGCAUCCUGGACCAAUACUGACGCUGAGGAGCGAAAGCCAGGGGAGCAAACGGG